This 443-nucleotide ribosomal RNA is filed under the name uncultured bacterium. RNAcentral describes it as "partial 16S ribosomal RNA". It matches the Rfam family "Bacterial small subunit ribosomal RNA", at positions 338 to 795 of the family's 1533-position model. The record is from RNAcentral.
CCUACGGGAGGCAGCAGUGGGGAAUAUUGGGCAAUGGGCGCAAGCCUGACCCAGCAACGCCGCGUGAAGGAAGAAGGCUUUCGGGUUGUAAACUUCUUUUCUCAGGGACGAAGCAAGUGACGGUACCUGAGGAAUAAGCCACGGCUAACUACGUGCCAGCAGCCGCGGUAAUACGUAGGUGGCAAGCGUUAUCCGGAUUUACUGGGUGUAAAGGGCGUGUAGGCGGGACGGCAAGUCAGAUGUGAAAACCACGGGCUCAACCUGUGGCCUGCAUUUGAAACUGGAGUUCUUGAGUACUGGGGAGGCAGACGGAAUUCGUGGUGUAGCGGUGAAAUGCGUAGAUAUUAGGAGGAACACCAGUUGCGAAGGCGGUCUGCUGGACAGCAACUGACGCUGAGGCGCGAAAGUGUGGGGAGCAAACAGGAUUAGAUACCCCAGUAGUC